This 90-nucleotide transfer RNA is filed under the name Patescibacteria group bacterium. RNAcentral describes it as "tRNA-Ser". It matches the Rfam family "tRNA". From Rfam's summary of the family: Transfer RNA (tRNA) molecules are approximately 80 nucleotides in length. Their secondary structure includes four short double-helical elements and three loops (D, anti-codon, and T loops). The record is from RNAcentral. RNAcentral also lists the same sequence under 2 other names.
GGAGAGGUGGCCGAGUGGCUGAAGGCGCACGCUUGGAAAGCGUGUAUGCGGGCAACCGUAUCGUGGGUUCGAAUCCCACUCUCUCCGCCA